Molecule: long non-coding RNA, 299 nt
Organism: Bombus pyrosoma
Lineage: Eukaryota; Metazoa; Arthropoda; Insecta; Hymenoptera; Apidae
Exons: 3
Source: RefSeq, a predicted model, not a curated record
UAGUGUGAACGUGCUAGGGAAUAGUUACCUAUUUGAACGUUACAAUUUUUGUGCUUAGCAGGUGUUUAAGGUAUUUUUGUUAAGAAGUGCUAAUUGCUAGAUAAAAUAUAAAAUCUGGUUAUUCGAAAGCUGACUUGUAAUUUUCUAUAAAAAGGAUUUAUUCAGGGAUGGCUCAUACGGCAACCAGAUAGAUUAUUCCACAUGUGGAAGAUCCUCCCCUGAAGCACUUCGUGAUGCACAAAGAAGCUUCUUCCAGUAACACAAUUCUUCAUAAAUUCUUUUCCAUGCUGUUAUGGUAA